CUGGAACUACAGCCGCGCACCAUUGUGCCUGGCUUUCUUUUUAUUUUAAAUUUUUUGUACAAACAGUGUCUCCCUGUAUUGCCCAGGCUGGUCUCAAACUCCUGUCCCGCCUUGGCCUCCCAAAGUGCUGGAAUUAUAGGCAUAAGCCACCGCGUGCAGACACAACUAUCUUUUCAGUGGCAAUCAUCUUCUGAUCUGUUGGCUUUAUUGUGGCUCCAAUUUCCUGUUAAUACACUAUAUUUUAAAAUAAUCAGUACCAUUUGUACUUGGAGAAAGGACUGCGGGGGAGUGGGGAGACAGCCCAGGGUGUCGCAUGAGAGUCUUCUUCUCUGUAAGGGCAACAGUGGAGCAUUUGUUCAUCUAACGUUAAUACCCUUGAGAGUCAGGCAUCACACUCAGCUGCCCUCUGAUAUUCCCACCAGGGUGCUUCACAGGGUCUCACUGCACUGUACAAAACCGAACCCUAGAGCUCUCCUCCUCAACACACACACACACACACACACCACAUACCAUACCACACCACAUACACACACACACACACACCACAUACACACACACCACAGACACACCACAUACACACACACACCACAUACACACACACCACAUACACACCAUAUACACACACACACACCACAUACACACCAAAUACACACACACCACAUACACACACACACACCACAUACACACACACACCACAUACACACACACACAUACCACAUACACACACCACACAUACACACACACACCAUACACACACACCACAUACACACCACAUACACACACACACCACAUACACACCACAUACACACACACCUGAUACACACACACCACAUACACACACACCACAUACACACACACACCACACACCAUAUACACACACAUACCACAUACACACACACACCACAGACACACCAUAUACACACAUACCACAUACACACCACAUACACAUACACACCACAUACACACAUACCACAUACACACCACAUACACAUACACACCACAUACACACCACAGACACACACACACACCACACACACACACCACUUCAAUAUGCAAUGA
This 1059-nucleotide long non-coding RNA is filed under the name Papio anubis (olive baboon). RNAcentral describes it as "lncRNA (ENSPANG00000048022.1)". Lineage: Eukaryota; Metazoa; Chordata; Mammalia; Primates; Cercopithecidae. The record is from RNAcentral.